GUGGUUUUGCUUUUGAUUUUAAUGCUUGGGCUGCCCCAGGUGUAUAUGUGAGAGUAUUUCUCGGAAGACACUGGCCUGUGAGUGGGUGAACUGAGUGGAGAAGCUCCACCCUCAAUGCAGGCAGGCACCAUUUAAUCAGCUGGGGGCCUGGAGAGAAAAGGCAGAGGAAGGGCAAAUUAUUUUUCUCUUUCUUUUGGAGCCAGGAUGUUUUUCUCCUUCCAUUGGAUGUCAGAAAGCUAGGUUCUCCAGCUUUUGGACUCUGGGAUUUGCACCAGAGCCUGCCCCCGGCAACCCCGACUCAGGCUUUUGGCCUUGAAAUGAGUUAUGCCAUCAGCUUAUUUAUUUGUAAGGCCUUCGGACUUGAACUGUGCCACAUCCUCAGCUUUCCAGAUUCUCCAGUUCGGACGACCCUUUGUGGAACUUCUCAGCCUCCAUGAUCAUAUAAGUCGACAUUUUCACUGGACCGAUUGGACUGAAAAGGCAAGAUUGAAUGAGGUUUUGGUAUCAGGAUGAUGCUGGCCUAAUAGACUGAGAUACAAAGGAGUCCUUCCUCCUCCAUUUUGUGGAAUAAUUUCAGUAGGAAUGGAUAAACAGUAUUGCUGCUCUGAAGACAGCUUGAGUAACACUGUUCUUGGACAUUGAUGGGCUUGUCUAAUUAAGUAAAGACUUCUGAAGAUGAUAGAGGUCUGCCUUCUGAAGCCCCUUUGGCUAUGAACCAGAA
RNAcentral lists this long non-coding RNA (721 nucleotides) under Homo sapiens (human). Its description in RNAcentral is "HSALNT0178847". Lineage: Eukaryota; Metazoa; Chordata; Mammalia; Primates; Hominidae. The record is from RNAcentral.